UACGUAGGGUGCAAGCGUUAAUCGGAAUUACUGGGCGUAAAGCGUGCGCAGGCGGUUUUGUAAGUCUGUCGUGAAAGCCCCGGGCUCAACCUGGGAAUUGCGAUGGAGACUGCAAGGCUUGAAUCUGGCAGAGGGGGGUAGAAUUCCACGUGUAGCAGUGAAAAGCGUAGAGAUGUGGAGGAACACCGAUGGCGAAGGCAGCCCCCUGGGUCAAGAUUGACGCUCAUGCACGAAAGCGUGGGGAGCAAACAGG
This 253-nucleotide ribosomal RNA is filed under the name uncultured bacterium. Its description in RNAcentral is "partial 16S ribosomal RNA". It matches the Rfam family "Bacterial small subunit ribosomal RNA", at positions 524 to 776 of the family's 1533-position model. The record is from RNAcentral.